Ipomoea triloba (trilobed morning glory) is the source of this 103-nucleotide small nucleolar RNA. The record is from RefSeq and is a predicted model, not a curated record. NCBI's taxonomy places the organism in Eukaryota, Viridiplantae, Streptophyta, Magnoliopsida, Solanales, Convolvulaceae.
AAAUUUUUAGGACAUUGCCUCCUCAACUCCUUAAACCGCUUCCAUGCUUCACAUAGAUUCUCAUUCCCAUAUUGUUGGAAGUUUGAAUGAGCUUUUUCAAUUU